Molecule: ribosomal RNA, 429 nt
Filed under: Pseudomonadota bacterium
Lineage: Bacteria; Pseudomonadati; Pseudomonadota
Description: Proteobacteria bacterium partial 16S ribosomal RNA
Rfam family: Bacterial small subunit ribosomal RNA
Source: RNAcentral
UGGGGAAUAUUGGACAAUGGGCGAAAGCCUGAUCCAGCCAUGCCGCGUGUGUGAAGAAGGUCUUCGGAUUGUAAAGCACUUUAAGUUGGGAGGAAGGGCAGUAAGCGAAUACCUUGCUGCUUUGACGAUACCGACAGAAUAAGCACCGGCUAACUCUGUGCCAGCAGCCGCGGUAAUACAGAGGGUGCAAGCGUUAAUCGGAAUUACUGGGCGUAAAGCGCGCGUAGGUGGUUCGUUAAGUUGAAUGUGAAAGCCCCGGGCUCAACCUGGGAACUGCAUCCAAAACGGGCGAGCUAGAGUAGGGCAGAGGGUGGUGGAAUUUCCUGUGUAGCGGUGAAAUGCGUAGAUAUAGGAAGGAACACCAGUGGCGAAGGCGACCACCUGGGCUCAUACUGACACUGAGGUGCGAAAGCGUGGGGAGCAAACAGG